RNAcentral lists this small nuclear RNA (100 nucleotides) under Microtus ochrogaster (prairie vole). Lineage: Eukaryota; Metazoa; Chordata; Mammalia; Rodentia; Cricetidae. The record is from RNAcentral.
UUGCUUCGGCAGCAAACACAAGGAAACUGGAACAACGCAGAGAAUGCCAUAGCCCCUGAGCAAAGCUGACACACAAAUUCAUGAAGCAUCCCAUUUUGUA